This is a long non-coding RNA of Tribolium madens (black flour beetle), 1659 nucleotides long. RefSeq lists it as uncharacterized. The record is from RefSeq and is a predicted model, not a curated record. The transcript is spliced from 2 exons. NCBI's taxonomy places the organism in Eukaryota, Metazoa, Arthropoda, Insecta, Coleoptera, Tenebrionidae.
UCUGAUGCCACAAGUAAAAAAAAAGACAAUAAUCCUAUAAUACCAUCAGGAAAUAAAGAAGAGUCUAGCAAUCCAAAUCCAAACUUUAUUGAUAGCUAUACUAAAAAACCACGAYUAAAAUAUCAUCGGAAACCUCAUAGGACUAAUUCUGAUACCACAAAUAAAAAAAAUGAYAAUGAUACUGUAAUACCAUCAGCAAAUAAAGAAGACUCUAGCAAUCCAAAUCCAAACUUUAUUGGUAGCUAUACUAAGAAACCACGACUAAAACCUCAUCGGCAUCGUCCGCAUCCUGAUGAAUCACGUAGGGAAAGUGAAAAAAAUAACAAAGUUUACAACACUAACAAUACUGAUAAUGAUAGUCAAUCUUCUCUUAACACGACUGAUACACCGAAUAAACAAAGUGUCAAUAAUUCUAAUAAAACACUAAUCAACGUUAAAAGCAACAGAGAUGACAAUGACAGUGAAGAAAAAUUACCAUAUGAUCGACCACGACAUCCUUACCAUMCGCCCGACAAAUCAAGUGAGGAAAAUGAUGACAAUGGCAAAGCAGGUUUUUUCAGACCCGGGACAACUUUUUUGAACAAUACAGYAGCACCACCUUCGGCUAAUGUAGUUAUUAACUCUAGAAAAAAUGAAAAAGAAACUGCAAAUGUAAGAGUGKCAAAAUCGGAAAAAGAAAACUUAAAACAGAAACAGAAAACAGAAACUUUAAGGAGUUUAUCUCCGAGAGAAGAUAYGGGCAUCAUUUUUGUAGAGUUUCAUAAGAAAAAAGACCAAGAAUCGCUGGUGUACAGUGCUAAAGUCGAUCUGAAUAAACACAGUCUUAACGACUACGUCCCAAAUACAAGAUUUGAAGAAAUUAAAAUUACUUCAGGGUUUGUUGAUUGGUUAUUAAACAAACACAUUGGACCUAUUCACCGCAUAAGACCAUACAAACUUACUUUUCGAAACCAAGUAUCUGGUUUAGGAAAAAACCUUUUAGCAAGCACUUCCAAUAUGGAGGAAUUUCAAAUAUCAGUUGGAACAUUGUCAAUAAUCAAUGAUGAUGUUUUUAGCGGCGGAAAAGUGAAAUACCUUAAUCUGAGAGAUAACAGAAUUUUUACAAUUGACUCUCAUGCGUUUGACAAUAUGAAAGAGUUGAAGAAAAUUUCUCUCAUCAAUAACCAGCUGAAAGAAUACAACCCGGAUUGGUUUUAUAAUUGUCCCAAACUGGAAACGAUUCUCUUAAGUCACAAUGAAAUAAAAAUUUUGCCACCAUAUGCUUUCAAAAAUUUAAAUCUUAAUCUGCCUUUUAGAAUAUUUUURGAUUACAACGACAUCGUCACUAUUAGUGACAGAACAUUCGUCCAAAAUCCUGCAGCAAGCCUUAGUCCUCAAUAUUUCAACGAUCUGCGUAAAAAUGGAAUGAGAAUUCACUUGAAAGGCAAYCGUUUGAAAUGUSUGACUGAAGAUKUAUCAAAAACUUUUGUCGCCAGGGUGAUUACYAUGAARCAAAAUCCYUUAACGUGUCAAUGUCAGAAGAAAAUUCUUGAGUGGAAGAAAAAGCAUCCCAAAACUAGAAUUUAUCUCGAUUACAGUAGCAACUGUGUCUAUACAGAAGUAUAAUAUUUAUGUAGUUUUCUUCUUAUUAAUAAAUGUAAAAUAAAAAAUUUUAUACGA